AGAGCUAUCUGUCAAAAUAUCAUCCAUCAAAAUGAGAACUGUAAAUUGCUGGCCUUGUCAAACACAGAGUUCUUCUCAAAUUAUGUUAGAUAAGAGUAGAUAGGUCAUGUUUCAGGGUUAUGGGGCAGCAAAGAAUACAUUUAGAAAAUCUUACUACAGGAUCUCACUAUGUAGGUUUGUUUUCCUUUUUUGUUCUUUUUAUAAAGUGUGCUUGUGUUACACAUUGAAGCGUAUAGAACUGUGCAUGCAUUACGUAAGGGAUCACCCAAGUUAGCUAUUCUAUUAGAAAUAUUACCUCUCUGAACUCACUUCCUCAUUUAUAAAAUAGGGUAAUAAUUAUGACUUCAUAGAGUUGUAAGAAUUAAAUAAGCAAAUAUACAUAAAGUGCUUAGUAUGGUACAUGGAUUAUAGUAAUUACUCGGCAUUCGUGAUGACGCCGAUAGUGGUAGUGGUGGUGGUGCUGCUGAUACUUCAGUCAACCCUGCUAUUAUUGAUUCAACUGGCAAAGGCCACAGUAUCUCACUGAAAAAAAAAUAUUCACAGUUAAAUUUCUACAUUGGAGAUAUGAAAUGAAUGGAAUUAAUAACUUUGGGCAACAGACCUCAGCUAUUCUAGCAAAUUGAAACCCCUGUCCCCAUGCCAUCAUCCCUUCCUCACAGGAAAAUAAGCCCCAGGAUUUCUUCUAGCUUUUUGGAACUGAACAGAUCUCACAAAUGCAGAGUUGAGAAAUGCAUCAAUAUUCCAG
This 745-nucleotide long non-coding RNA is filed under the name Homo sapiens (human). RNAcentral's name for it is "HSALNT0106775". Lineage: Eukaryota; Metazoa; Chordata; Mammalia; Primates; Hominidae. The record is from RNAcentral.